UGGGAAUAUUGCACAAUGGGGAAACCCGUGAUGCAGCGACGCCGCGUGAGUGAUGAAGUAUUUCGGUAUGUAAAGCUCUAUCAGCAGGGAAGAUAAUGACGGUACCUGACUAAGAAGCACCGGCUAAAUACGUGCCAGCAGCCGCGGUAAUACGUAUGGUGCAAGCGUUAUCCGGAUUUACUGGGUGUAAAGGGUGCGUAGGUGGUGAGACAAGUCUGAAGUGAAAAUCCGGGGCUUAACCCCGGAACUGCUUUGGAAACUGCCUGACUAGAGUACAGGAGAGGUAAGUGGAAUUCCUAGUGUAGCGGUGAAAUGCGUAGAUAUUAGGAGGAACACCAGUGGCGAAGGCGACUUACUGGACUGCUACUGACACUGAGGCACGAAAGCGUGGGGAGC
Molecule: ribosomal RNA, 396 nt
Filed under: uncultured Coprococcus sp.
Lineage: Bacteria; Bacillati; Bacillota; Clostridia; Lachnospirales; Lachnospiraceae
Description: bacterial SSU rRNA
Rfam family: Bacterial small subunit ribosomal RNA
Source: RNAcentral